RNAcentral lists this long non-coding RNA (266 nucleotides) under Medicago truncatula (barrel medic). Its description in RNAcentral is "long non-coding RNA (MTRU_LNC000909)". The record is from RNAcentral. Lineage: Eukaryota; Viridiplantae; Streptophyta; Magnoliopsida; Fabales; Fabaceae.
UCUUGAAAUGCAAAGAAAAGUACUAAAAACAUAGUAAAAAGUGGCAUGUGAUGCUCUGUCAUCACUACCAUAGAGUCGUUAGUACGGUAUGAAGCUACAUUAAGGGGAUGAAACUGUAAAAGAAACUACGUCAAUUACCAUGUGCUUUUGUCUUCCUUCUGCAUUGCAAUCAACCAAUGACAUGUUUGUAACUCCAUAAUCUAUAGCAGAGUACGUUUCUAUAGUCAGGUGGAUUAAACUACCUCCCAAUAUGUUGAAAUGUAAUG